AGCCACUAGAGAAAUGCAAAUCACUGUAUAAAAGCUGUACAUGCAGUCUGAUUAUUUUGCAAGACUGAGGCUU
Small nucleolar RNA from Lemur catta (Ring-tailed lemur), 73 nucleotides. RefSeq annotates it as small nucleolar RNA SNORD60. The record is from RefSeq and is a predicted model, not a curated record. Lineage: Eukaryota; Metazoa; Chordata; Mammalia; Primates; Lemuridae. The transcript has a single exon.